This is a long non-coding RNA of Oncorhynchus masou masou (cherry salmon), 3481 nucleotides long. RefSeq lists it as uncharacterized. The transcript is spliced from 4 exons. The record is from RefSeq and is a predicted model, not a curated record. NCBI's taxonomy places the organism in Eukaryota, Metazoa, Chordata, Actinopteri, Salmoniformes, Salmonidae.
GACGCUACUUCAACAACAACAGCUAGUCAGACACCUCCGUAGCUUCCAAGCCGGAACAUUCAAGCUGUUCAGUCUGCUUCGGUGUAUAUUUGCCUCUGUAUUUGAAACAUAAUUAUCUUUUAACUAGUUUCCCCGUUUAAUGUCAUAUUUCCGUUUAGUCAGGUAACGGUAGCUGGCUUGAUAAAUUAGCCUAUCACUAGGCUAGUCACUAACUAGCUAGGUUAGCAGGCUAACAUCACUGACCAUGAGUUCACCAAGCUACCCUCCUCCUGCUGAAGAAGAGGAGAUCUGCUGGACGGAGUAAGAAGGUAUUUGGCUGAACAUUGUCGUGAAAGAGGAGAAUGAAGGGGAGGAUGUUACAGUAAACGAAGAAGUAGAGGGUGAUGCUGUUACAUAGAGAAAGAAGAAGACUCGUUCAGAGUGAAAGAGGAGGAGGAUGUUACAGUAAAAGAAGAGAGGGAGGAGGAUGUAAAUGUAAUGUAAAUGAGGAUGCAGUUUUUGGAGUGAAGGAGAUAACUGUCACAUUGAAGGAGGAGAAGGAAGAACAAGAACAGGAGGAGGAGACAUGCGAUCUGAUUAAGACCAGAGAGAGAUCAGACUCUGACAGCGGGAGUUCCUCAGAGGAAACAGACCCGGAGACGCCUAACCAACACCACUGGUCACACUGUGGAAAGAGUUUUAGCCUUUCUCUCCUCUGAAGAACCAGUGAGGAUGGAGCUUAGUCAGAGAGCUGUUGAUGGACUGGUUUGGAAGAACACUUCUACAGCCAGAGGGGCAGUCAAGAAAUGGAAUGACAAGGCCACAGAACAUGACAUAAACAGAGCUGUGGGAGACCACCUCAAGCCCCUGGUAGAGCCGGGUGUGGUGUUUACCACUCCACCACACCUUCAGCAGGCUGGAAAAGUGGUAUUGAUCUGUUUGUUUCAAUUGUCAGAAAUUGAAUUCUUUGACAUGGGAUUGAUACUGAUUUUCAUACUAAGAGGGACCAGAAGUCUGAUGAUUGGUCAGUCAUUGGGUUCAUUUGUUGAAAUCAAAUCAAACUUUAUUUAUACAGCACAUUUCAGACAUGGAUGCAACACAAUGGCUUCACAGGAAAAACCAAUGAAAAUAAACAGAAAUAUUUAGUACACAACAUAAGAGGAUAAAAAAAACUGAAGACUAAUGAGCAUUUAUGGAAAUGCCAUUGAUUACAUUAUAAAUUGGAUGCAACAUCCAACCCAAAAUAUAAGCUUGUUUUCUAGGUUGGGUUCUGAAAGACACUAUGGGGGUGUCCACUGAAAGUUGAUUAGUAACAACAACUGGGACCUAAAGGACAUCCACCAUGAGACCGACUAAAUCUGCCCAAGAAGAGGAAAACAAAAGAAAAACCCACACCAAACUUAGACAGGAAGCAAACCAAAAAGGUGGAACAACUAAAGGUGUUGACUCUCUACAUCUAUCAGGACAACUGGAGCACUAAGCCAGACACUGUUCAAUAGAACCUGGACCAGCUCAGGUGAAACACGUUCCCACUAACGAGAUGGACAAGCCAGCACAGGUGUAACACAUACUGACUAACGAGGUGACACCAGUCAGUGAGUCCGACGUGCAAAAGUCCAACCUCAAAACAUAAAUGGAAAAACUAAAGCCUGUAACAGCUUAAGACAACAAAUAUAUCCUAUAUUUUUGUUGGACAAGUUUUCUUACCACGAACAGAAAACAACUUGCCGUCAACAAUUAAAAACAAGAAAAAACACGUAUUUCUAAAUAAUAAUAUACAAUCAUAUAUAUAUAUAUUUUUUUUAUAGAAUCCUAAAACUCACUAGCUUCUAGGACUCUCGUCCCCUUGGAACGAACAAAACUCAAAUCAAAUUGUAUUAGUCACAUGCACCGAAUACAACAGGUAGACCUAACAGUGAAAUGCUGAAUACAACAGGUGUAGAUCUAACAGUGAAAUGCUGACUUACGAGCCCCUAACCAACAGUGCAGUUUUUAAAAAAAAUACAGAAAAUAAUAAAAUAAAAUAAAAAACUCAUCUCCAACACGGAAAAACGUGUCAAAAUAAAUUGUGACUCAUGAUAACACUCGGGGUAAAUGCAAAACACAAAUCUUUUUGACUGCCAAGACAAUUGAGACAAUCAGCAACCAAGUUGUCCUUACCAAAGACAUGUCUGAUAUCAAGAGGAAACUCCUGCGAUAUCAGUAGUAACUUUCCACAACUGCAGAGCUUCUCUCUCUUUUCAGGGUUCACUCGAUAGGCAUGUUGGUGGAUCGUGGCCCAGUCCCCAGUGUUGUGCUCUAGUACAUUUGGGUUGGCACAUCUGAGAAUGAACCCUGAUAUUCUAAAAGCAGGGCAACAAUGUCAAUAUAAUUGUACCCAAAAAUUGUCAGUUGGUUGCAUAAAUAAUUAUUACUAAAUGUUACAUAAUUGUAAAUAUGAAAUACCAAAACCAAAUGCACACACCCCUUUGUUAAUAUGUAUUGGCAAUAAUUAACUGAAUGGUGAAACAUGUAUCUUUUGUCAGGCUGGAUGUUUGAAAUAUGAGAUGAUUUGAGUCAUGCUUCUUCAGUAAUGGAAUAAAGACAAUUAGCAUUUGAAUGAUGUAAAGAAAUACUGGAGUGAUGUUGGAUUGUUAAUAAAAUUGAUUAUAGACUCAAUUCAUUAUACUGCGACAAGGUGUAUAGGCUGUAAGUACCUUGAAAUUAAGUUGUUUUCAAGUAAUUGAAAAAACAACCCGAAAAUACAUAUUUUCAACUUUCACUUUCAGCUACAACCGAACAUAUAUUGGACGUCGGGCAUAGUCUUAUUUUCAACAUCUUUGGAAUUAUAUUUUGCUAAAUGGGAAUAGUGCAAUGUCAAAGCACAGUUUUAACGUGUCCAAAUCAAUAACCAACAUCUUCCCACAUUGAUCACAGCUAUAAGGUUUAUCUCCUGUGUGUGUCCGCUGGUGUACCAUCAGGCUUUUUAGCAGAGUAAAACUCUUCCCACAUUGAUCACAGAUAAAAAUGUUUAUCUCCUGUGUGUGUUCUAUGGUGUGUUGCCAGAUGUACCUACUCUUUCCACAUUGAUCACAGCUAUAUGUUUUCUCUCCUGUGUGUGUUCUCUGGUGUAUAGUUAGAUAGCUAGAUGUAGUAAAACUCUUCCUACAUUGAUCACAGCUAUAAUGUUUCUCUCCUGUGUGUGUUCUCUGUUUUGUCAGACAGCCAGAUGUACCGAAACCAUUCCCACAUUGAUCACAACUAUAUGGUUUCUCUCCUGUGUGUGUUCUCUUGUGUAUAGUUAGAUAGCUAGAUGUAGUAAAACUCUUCCUACAUUGAUCACAGCUAUAAUGUUUCUCUCCUGUGUGUGUUCUCUGUUUUGUCAGACAGCCAGAUGUACCGAAACCAUUCCCACAUUGAUCACAACUAUAUGGUUUCUCUCCUUUGUGUAUUCUCUGAUGUAUAGCGAGAAAGUUUGACUCAGUAAAACUCUUCCCACAUUGUUCAAAGCCAUAAGGUUUCU